Molecule: non-coding RNA, 105 nt
Filed under: Saccharomyces pastorianus Weihenstephan 34/70
Lineage: Eukaryota; Fungi; Ascomycota; Saccharomycetes; Saccharomycetales; Saccharomycetaceae
Description: Ure2 internal ribosome entry site (IRES)
Rfam family: Ure2 internal ribosome entry site (IRES)
Source: Rfam by way of RNAcentral
CAAAAUAAUAACAACGAGAACAAUAUCAAAGAUACUCUAGAACAGCAUCGACAACAGCAGCAGGCAUUCUCGGAUAUGAGUCAUGUGGAGUAUUCAAGAAUUACA